GGGAAUUAACUAAAGAAUGGAUGGAGAUACAAACUAAAUAAACUUGAAAACUUGAUUAUACCUUUGGGAUACAUUUCUUGCAGAGGCACAUUAAUCUCUUAAUUGAAGGGAUACAACAAAUACAUCAAGGCUUUUCACAAGCCUACAAUAACAAAAUAGAUGCACAACCAAUUCAAAAAAACAGAGGUGAUUUACUUGCUUGCUGCCUUCUUGGAUUGCUGACAACAAUUGUUACUGUUUCUAUAAUGUUGGAAUACUUGAUAUUAGGCUAGUGCUUUGAAGGGGAAAAAGGAUGGAGUUCAAGAAUUUCCAGUUGGGGUUUUGGAGAUCAGGGGAUAAAUGUUGGAAAUUUGAUUUUUGGGAAUGCUCUUGGAUGUAAUGCAGGCUUAGGAGCCAACAGUUGUUUCUGGGGUGCUAGAGUUGGUUUUGGAGGUUCUGUAGGCACCAAGAAAGUUUCCGGAGGUAAGCCUGUUGAGGUUGGUGGCAAUACUGGUGGUUUGAAGGGGACUAAGAAUGUUGGUGGAGCUGGUAUUGGUGGUAUUAUAGGUGUAAAUGCAAAUCCAGGAGGAGGAGGUGGUGGUGGUGGGGGGGGGGGUGGGGGUGGUGGUGGUGGGGGUGGUGGU
This 623-nucleotide unclassified non-coding RNA is filed under the name Hevea brasiliensis (rubber tree). The record is from RNAcentral. Lineage: Eukaryota; Viridiplantae; Streptophyta; Magnoliopsida; Malpighiales; Euphorbiaceae.